GAUUAAGUUAUUAAGGGCGCACGGUGGAUGCCUUGGCACUAGAAGCCGAUGAAGGACGUUACUAACGACGAUAUGCUUUGGGGAGCUGUAAGUAAGCUUUGAUCCAGAGAUUUCCGAAUGGGGAAACCCAGCAUGAGUUAUGUCAUGUUAUCGAUAUGUGAAUACAUAGCAUAUCAGAAGGCACACCCGGAGAACUGAAACAUCUUAGUACCCGGAGGAAGAGAAAGAAAAUUCGAUUCCCUUAGUAGCGGCGAGCGAAACGGGAAGAGCCCAAACCAACAAGCUUGCUUGUUGGGGUUGUAGGACACUCUAUACGGAGUUACAAAGGACGACAUUAGACGAAUCAUCUGGAAAGAUGAAUCAAAGAAGGUAAUAAUCCUGUAGUCGAAAAUGUUGUCUCUCUUGAGUGGAUCCUGAGUACGACGGAGCACGUGAAAUUCCGUCGGAAUCUGGGAGGACCAUCUCCUAAGGCUAAAUACUCUCUAGUGACCGAUAGUGAACCAGUACCGUGAGGGAAAGGUGAAAAGCACCCCGGAAGGGGAGUGAAAUAGAACCUGAAACCGUGUGCUUACAAGUAGUCAGAGCCCGUUAAUGGGUGAUGGCGUGCCUUUUGUAGAAUGAACCGGCGAGUUACGAUUUGAUGCAAGGUUAAGCAGUAAAUGUGGAGCCGUAGCGAAAGCGAGUCUGAAUAGGGCGUUUAGUAUUUGGUCGUAGACCCGAAACCAGGUGAUCUACCCUUGGUCAGGUUGAAGUUCAGGUAACACUGAAUGGAGGACCGAACCGACUUACGUUGAAAAGUGAGCGGAUGAACUGAGGGUAGCGGAGAAAUUCCAAUCGAACCUGGAGAUAGCUGGUUCUCUCCGAAAUAGCUUUAGGGCUAGCCUCAAGUGAUGAUUAUUGGAGGUAGAGCACUGUUUGGACGAGGGGCCCCUCUCGGGUUACCGAAUUCAGACAAACUCCGAAUGCCAAUUAAUUUAACUUGGGAGUCAGAACAUGGGUGAUAAGGUCCGUGUUCGAAAGGGAAACAGCCCAGACCACCAGCUAAGGUCCCAAAAUAUAUGUUAAGUGGAAAAGGAUGUGGCGUUGCCCAGACAACUAGGAUGUUGGCUUAGAAGCAGCCAUCAUUUAAAGAGUGCGUAAUAGCUCACUAGUCGAGUGACACUGCGCCGAAAAUGUACCGGGGCUAAACAUAUUACCGAAGCUGUGGAUUGUCCUUUGGACAAUGGUAGGAGAGCGUUCUAAGGGCGUUGAAGCAUGAUCGUAAGGACAUGUGGAGCGCUUAGAAGUGAGAAUGCCGGUGUGAGUAGCGAAAGACGGGUGAGAAUCCCGUCCACCGAUUGACUAAGGUUUCCAGAGGAAGGCUCGUCCGCUCUGGGUUAGUCGGGUCCUAAGCUGAGGCCGACAGGCGUAGGCGAUGGAUAACAGGUUGAUAUUCCUGUACCACCUAUAAUCGUUUUAAUCGAUGGGGGGACGCAGUAGGAUAGGCGAAGCGUGCGAUUGGAUUGCACGUCUAAGCAGUAAGGCUGAGUAUUAGGCAAAUCCGGUACUCGUUNNNNNNNNNNNNNNNNNNNNNNNNNNNNNNNNNNNNNNNNNNNNNNNNNNNNNNNNNNNNNNNNNNNNNNNNNNNNNNNNNNNNNNNNNNNNNNNCGUUAAGGCUGAGCUGUGAUGGGGAGAAGACAUUGUGUCUUCGAGUCGUUGAUUUCACACUGCCGAGAAAAGCCUCUAGAUAGAAAAUAGGUGCCCGUACCGCAAACCGACACAGGUAGUCAAGAUGAGAAUUCUAAGGUGAGCGAGCGAACUCUCGUUAAGGAACUCGGCAAAAUGACCCCGUAACUUCGGGAGAAGGGGUGCUCUUUAGGGUUAACGCCCAGAAGAGCCGCAGUGAAUAGGCCCAAGCGACUGUUUAUCAAAAACACAGGUCUCUGCUAAACCGUAAGGUGAUGUAUAGGGGCUGACGCCUGCCCGGUGCUGGAAGGUUAAGAGGAGUGGUUAGCUUCUGCGAAGCUACGAAUCGAAGCCCCAGUAAACGGCGGCCGUAACUAUAACGGUCCUAAGGUAGCGAAAUUCCUUGUCGGGUAAGUUCCGACCCGCACGAAAGGCGUAACGAUUUGGGCACUGUCUCAACGAGAGACUCGGUGAAAUCAUAGUACCUGUGAAGAUGCAGGUUACCCGCGACAGGACGGAAAGACCCCGUGGAGCUUUACUGUAGCCUGAUAUUGAAAUUCGGCACAGCUUGUACAGGAUAGGUAGGAGCCUUUGAAACGUGAGCGCUAGCUUACGUGGAGGCGCUGGUGGGAUACUACCCUAGCUGUGUUGGCUUUCUAACCCGCACCACUUAUCGUGGUGGGAGACAGUGUCAGGCGGGCAGUUUGACUGGGGCGGUCGCCUCCUAAAAGGUAACGGAGGCGCUCAAAGGUUCCCUCAGAAUGGUUGGAAAUCAUUCAUAGAGUGUAAAGGCAUAAGGGAGCUUGACUGCGAGACCUACAAGUCGAGCAGGGUCGAAAGACGGACUUAGUGAUCCGGUGGUUCCGCAUGGAAGGGCCAUCGCUCAACGGAUAAAAGCUACCCCGGGGAUAACAGGCUUAUCUCCCCCAAGAGUUCACAUCGACGGGGAGGUUUGGCACCUCGAUGUCGGCUCAUCGCAUCCUGGGGCUGUAGUCGGUCCCAAGGGUUGGGCUGUUCGCCCAUUAAAGCGGUACGCGAGCUGGGUUCAGAACGUCGUGAGACAGUUCGGUCCCUAUCCGUCGUGGGCGUAGGAAAUUUGAGAGGAGCUGUCCUUAGUACGAGAGGACCGGGAUGGACAUACCUCUGGUGUACCAGUUGUCGUGCCAACGGCAUAGCUGGGUAGCUAUGUGUGGACGGGAUAAGUGCUGAAAGCAUCUAAGCAUGAAGCCCCCCUCAAGAUGAGAUUUCCCAACUUCGGUUAUAAGAUCCCUCAAAGAUGAUGAGGUUAAUAGGUUCGAGGUGGAAGCAUGGUGACAUGUGGAGCUGACGAAUACUAAUCGAUCGAAGACUUAAUCAA
Molecule: ribosomal RNA, 3022 nt
Filed under: Staphylococcus aureus
Lineage: Bacteria; Bacillati; Bacillota; Bacilli; Caryophanales; Staphylococcaceae
Description: 23S ribosomal RNA
Rfam family: Bacterial large subunit ribosomal RNA
Source: RNAcentral